This 476-nucleotide ribosomal RNA is filed under the name uncultured bacterium. RNAcentral's name for it is "partial 16S ribosomal RNA". It matches the Rfam family "Bacterial small subunit ribosomal RNA", at positions 29 to 507 of the family's 1533-position model. The record is from RNAcentral.
AUUAACGCUGGCGGCGUGCAUAACACAUGCAAGUCGAACGAUGAAACUUAACUGAUUUCUUCGGAAUGAUUUUAAGUGGAUUAGUGGCGGACGGGUGAGUAACGCGUGAGUAACCUGCCUUGGAGAAGGGGAUAGCCUUUGGAAACGAAGAAUAAUACCCUAUGAUAUGAUAAUAUCUCAUGAUAUUAUCAUCAAAGAUUUAUCGCUCUAAGAUGGACUUGCGUCUGAUUAGUUAGUUGGUGAGGUAACAGCUCACCAAGGCAGCGAUCAGUAGCCGGCUUGAGAGAGUGUACGGCCACAUUGGGACUGAGACAAGGCCCAGACUCCUACGGGAGGCAGCAGGGGGGAAUUUUGCACAAUGGGGGAAACCCUGAUGCAGCGACGCCGCGUGAUUUAGAAGGCCUUCGGGUUGUAAAAAUCUUUUGUAUGGGAAGAAAAUGACAGUACCAUACGAAUAAGGACCGGCUAAUUACGUG